This 7304-nucleotide long non-coding RNA is filed under the name Olea europaea (common olive). RNAcentral describes it as "long non-coding RNA (OEUR_LNC010277)". The record is from RNAcentral. Lineage: Eukaryota; Viridiplantae; Streptophyta; Magnoliopsida; Lamiales; Oleaceae.
ACGAAAUCAAUCAAUUCAACUGUAUUCACCAUACAAAUUCUACAAUAGAGGACGAGAACCAAGGCAAUUUCACUGAUUCAGGAGAACUCGUUCACAACUGGGCCGAAUUGACUCGCGAAUGCCUCAUCAACAUCCUAUCGCGCCUCUCUUUGGAAGACCGAUGGCUGGGAGCAAUGCUGGUGUGCAAGGCGUGGUUGCAGGUAUGCAUAGAUCCGUGCCUCAGCUCCGUGUUCGAUCUCGCGACUCACUUCGACUCGGUCACUGAUUUACCUAGAUUCUGGACCCCCGAGUUUGAGAGCAGGAUUGAUAACAUGAUUGGAUCAGUCGUCGGUUGGAGCGGUGGGUCCCUUACCGAAAUCCGUGGUAGAGACUGCUCGGAUCGCUCCCUCUCUUUGGUUGCUUGAAGGUAUUUUUGUUUGUUUGCCUGGUGUGCCCACUCAUUCGUUCUUUGUUCCUUUAAUUUGCACUGCUGGUUUGGGUUGAGUUGGAACUGUUUGACCUGAUACGAAACUACUGCUGUUAUUUUCUUUAAUGUUUAUAAAUAUGUAGUUAGUUAGUGGUCAAAUUGAUUUAUGUGGAUUAUUGAGAAGGUUUCUUUAAUUUUUUUUAAAAUAAUUUUAGUGGACUUUGAUUUUUGACAUCAGUGAUUUUUGGUGAAUUUGGUGACUUGUUGCAAUUAUAUAUAUUUGGUUCAAGUUUAUUGGUUUCAGCCAUGGACUAAUUUACAAGGCUUCAUUCAUAUGAUCGUUUCUCAUUAUAUUUGGUGUGGAUUGAAGCUUAAGAUUGCUAAUAGGAUAGCAUCGGGGCACCAAGAGAUUUAUUUUUGCCUUUUUAUAUCCUUUGGAUAUGGUAAGGAUAAACUUCAAUCGAGCUGUAACCUGCACUUCUAUUUUCUCAAAUUCAUCCCUGACCUCUCAAAAAUUUGAAUGAAGUCUUUUCUUCUUCAUAGUUGCAAAACAAAAACUAUGCUGUCACGAUUGCCCCACUACCCUUUUCUUGUACUUGAAACCGUGAUUUCAUCUUCUUUCAAGUAGUAAGUCUUUAAGUGGUGAAGAUUAUUAAUUAAACUAGAAAGAAAUAUUUGAUAUAUUUCAGGACUUUCUUUUUCCAUUGAGAAAAGCCACAAAGAUUUUCGACAGAAACAAGUUCCCAUAAUUCCAGUUGUUAUUGUUCAAUAGGAAAUGUAAUUCAUCGAACCGUACAAUGGGUUUUGAUGGAAUUAAGAGCUGAUAAUGAGAUCAUAUAUCUUUCGUAACUUCUGAUUAACAAAGAAGGUGAAAGAAUUGAUACUUCAAAUCUGAAAAUAAUUUCUGAAUUUCAAAAAACUUGGAAGGGGUUCCAGGGUUUUGACAGGCUUGGCUUGGGGUUUGGGGGAUAUGACUAUUUCAUUUCUUUCUAGCUCUUGUCUAAUGUAUUCCAUCUCAUGGUGUUACCUACCACGUCAAAUUCCGUAUCUUACUCAAGCGAGUCACUAGUGUAAGAAUCCAACCCCAUGGAGGUUGACGUAUUACAAUUUAUAGUGAGUUGUCUUAAGUCACCAUUGACUGUUAGCAAUUGUAAUUAACUCAUGAUUUGUAAUCGUGCACAGAGCAUCUCUCCAUAGGCAGUAUAUGGGUUAAGCUCAUGUUAGCAAUGUGAUGAAACAUGUUUUUCCCUGUUAAAAACUCGUACUGUGGUUCCUGUUUUGUUGAUUUACUUGCAUUUUCAUUCUGUUACCGAAUUUGAGUAUUUACCAAUAACCAAAAAUGUGACUGGAGAGUUAUAUGGAAACCAAAAAUAAAAAAUAAAAUAGCUGCAUUCCAGCCAAUUCUUAUUAUCUCAAUUCUAACACUAGCUUAAUGCAUCCAACGAUUUUCUUUGCAUGUUAUAAUAUAUGAUCGUAUUGCUCUUGCAGGUGUCCAUAUAUUCAAGUUCUCUCUAUCAAGAGUUGUCCUCGUGUCUCUGACGUAAUUAUGGUAGAAAUAGCUUUUGAGUGUUCCAAGCUUAAGGAGCUCGAUAUCGGCUAUUGUUAUCGAAUAUCUCACAAAUCUUUGGUAUUAGGAUUGAUCGAAAAAGCUGAAUAUUUCCACUAUGUAACUUGUUAAUACUGUUAAUAACCUUAACAGUAUAUUGCAGUGUAUUUCCCCAAUUCAAGGGAUGUGUAUAUAGGUAGUUAGACACGUGUUAUCAGCUGAUAGGAAAAUCUGGAAUAUUCUAUGUGUAUGUAAAAUGUAUGUAUUACAAUUCUGUGAAUAAAUAGAGGAGAAAAGGAUGAGCUAUUGUACCGAGAAAACUUUUCCAAAAAUACAGAGUUUAGUGAUAUUUUUUAACUUGGUAUCAGAGCUUCUUAUGGCUAACAUCGAUUCAGGUAAACAGUCUCCUCCAAGCGAGUCGAGCACUACAGCAGUUGUUCAGUCUCCUAUAAACCACACUUCACCUUUUGGGAUGAACAUCAUCCAAACUCCGAUGGUGAAGCUGGACAGAGAAAAUUAUUUGUUAUGGCAAAACAUGGUUAUGCCCAUAAUUAGAGGACAUAAUCUUGAAGGAUUCCUGCUGGGUACGAAACCAUGUCCACCACAACUUUUAGAAACUCAGAUUGUUACUGAGAAAGGAGAAGCUACAGAGAUGGUUCCAAAUCCUGAGUACAGCAAAUGGGUUUCAACUGAUCAACUAUUAAUGGGAUGGUUGUAUUCAUUCAUGACCCCUGAAAUUGCAAGGAGAGUGAUAGGGUGCACCAGCUCCAGUAAAUUAUGGAGUGCAAUCAAGGAAAGUUAUGGGAUAAUGAAUAGAUCCAAAAUCAUUUUUCUCACUGGAGAGUUGCAAAGAACAAGAAAAGGAUCCAUGUCCAUGGAUCAGUACCUUACAACAAUCAAACAACUGGCAGAUAACUUACAGAUUGCUAGAAAAACCAUAGGCUCAGGUGAUUUGAUAACCCAAGUUCUAUCCGGACUGGAUGAAGAAUACACACCCAUUGUGGUGCAACUAAAUUGCAAGGAAGAUAUAUCAUGGCAUGAACUCUCUUCUGUUCUUUUAACCUUUGAAAGCAGGCUUGAAUACCUCAAUCAAGUUAAGAAUAGUUUUGGGACAAUGAGCAUUUAUCAAUCAGGAGUGCAAAGGACAGGAUCUGGUGGUGGUAGAAACUUUAGACCACAUAGUAAUGGAAGGUUUUCUAAUUUCAGGGGAAGAACAAGAGGCAGAGGUAGAGCAAGAAGAAUGAAUGAAAAUCGAGGACCUUGUCAAAUCUGUGGGAUGAAUAAUCAUUCAGCUAGAUGGUGUUUCAACAGAUAUGAUGAUAGGUAUAUGGGCAGCAAACCAGGUAACCAGAAGGCACAGAACAACUCACCUUCUGCGUAUGUGGCUAUACCAAGCACCGUGGAGGACCCAGCAUGGUUUGCAGACUCUAGAGCAAGCAACCAUGUCACUGAUGACAAAGAUAAUUUGGAUACUAUAAGAAAACAUGGAGGUAAGGAAAAAUUGCUUGUUGGUAAUGGGAAUUCUUUGCAUAUUGCUAAUGUUGGCAGAAGGAAUUUUCUUACAUUGAGUGAUAAGACCCUUACAUUGAAUAAAUUACUUCAUGUGCCUGCAAUUGAGAAGAAUUUGAUAAGUGUUUCUCAAUUGACAAAUGACAAUAAUGUAUUUAUGGAAUUUUAUCCUAAUUAUUGUGUUGUUAAGGAUCUGCAAACGAAGGAGGUCUUGUUGCAAGGGAUGCUUAAAGAUGGAUUGUAUUAGCUAAAACUACCAAACUCCAAGCCUAGAGUCACCAUCACAGAGUCAAGCUAUCAAAAUAAUCCUAACCUUGCAGUCUUCUCAGUAAACUCAAGGGGUGAAGAGUCAACCAAAAGUGUUAAGUUCGAGUUAGAUACCUGGCAUAGAAGGCUAGGUCACCCCUCAAGUCCUGUAUUGAGUCAAGUCCUUAAGUCUUGUAAUAAAAUAGCCAAAGUUAAUGAAAGUCCAGAUUUCUGUAAAGCUUGUCAAUUUGGUAAAUUUCAUGCUUUGCCUUUUACUAAGUCUUCAACAAAUGCAUCAAAACCAUUAGAUCUCAUACAUACCGAUGUCUGGGGACCAGCACCAAAGAUUUCUAACUCGGGGUCUAGGUACUAUAUCCUAUUUGUUGAUGACCAUAGCAGGUUUACAUGGAUCUAUCCAAUGAAAUACAAAUCAGAAGCCUUAAAUAUCUUCACUCAAUUCAAGAAACUAGUAGAAAACACUCUUGAAAGAAAGAUUAAAAUAUUACAAGCAGAUUGGGGAAGUGAAUUUAGAACCUUUGACAAGAUUGCUUCAGAAUCAGGCAUUGAACUUAGCUAUUCCUGCCCUUACACCUCUGCACAAAACGGUAGAGCAGAAAGGAAGCAUAGACAUAUCAUCGAAACUGGUUUGACACUAUUAGCCCAAGCACAAAUGCCAUUACAUUAUUGGUGGGAAUCUUUUAAAACAGCAACCUACUUAAUAAAUAGACUACCUGCUCCUAUACUUCAAAACAAAUCCCCUUUUCAAAUCCUAUAUGGAAGAAACUUUGAUCAUAAGAAACUAAAAAUCUUUGGUUGUGCUUGUUAUCCAUGUCUAAGACCAUACCAAAACCACAAGUUCAAUUUUCAUUCUAAAAAAUGUGUAUUCCUUGGCUAUAGUGAUUCACAUAAAGGAUAUAAGUGCCUAAACUCGACUGGUAGAAUGUAUGUCUCAAGACAUGUGGUGUUUAAUGAGAAAGAAUUUCCCUUCAAGUCUAGUUUCCUAAACACCCAUACUCAGGAAAAAUGCUCAGAAAUUGUUGUUAGCCCUCUUCCCUAUGAUAUUGAGUCAAGCCAGCAAAUAACCUCUCAAAAUGCAGUUGACACAAUCCAUCCUAAUGCAACACUUGCUGAAGACUCCAACAGAAGUGUGGAACAUGAAACUCAGACUGUGAUAAAUGAAAAUGAAAGCGGUACUGAUAUGAACCAAGUGACUUCUAUAGAGUUUGAUCAGGUCGUUGAUCAGCAAGAUGGUGCUAAUGGUGAUGAUCAAAAUGUAAUACAAAUUGCUGGGCAUCAUAAGAUCACAAGGAGUAAGGCUGGAAUCUUCAAACCAAAGGUGUAUAUAAAUCAAAUUCAAGACAAGAUGGUUGAAGUUGAGCUAUAGAAUACUGAUGAGGUUGAAGUUGAGCCACAGAAUACUGAUGAAGCUCUAUUAAGUAAUAAAUGGAGAAGAGCUAUGCAAGAAGAGUAUGAUGCCUUGAUGAAGAAUAGCACAUGGAAAUUGGUGCCACCAAAAUCAGAAAUGAAAAUAAUUGGAAACAAAUGGGUUUAUAAACUGAAAUAUGACUCAGAAGGCAAGGUAAAGAGGUAUAAAGCAAGGCUAGUUGCAAAAGGCUUUCUACAAAUACUUGGAGUGGACUUUAGUGAAACCUUUAGUCCAGUUAUCAAGGCAUCAACACUGAAAAUUAUAUUAACUCUUACUGUGUCAAGAGACUGGCAAAUCAGGCAAGUUGAUGUAAAUAAUGCCUUUCUAAAGGUAAGUUAGAAGAAAUUGUGUACAUGAAGCAACAACAAGGUUUUGAGGAUCAGAAAAAUCCUGAUUUUGUAUGCAAAUUGGAAAAGGCACUUUAUGGGCUUCGACAAGCACCAAGAGCUUGGCAUGAUAAGUUGAAGGAGACUUUGUUUGAGUGGAACUUCAGACAAUCCAAGGCAGAUAAUUCUUUGUUUUUCUCAAUGAAAGAAGACAAUAUCACAUUUGCAUUAGUUUAUGUAGAUGAUAUAGUGAUAACAGGAAACAAUGGUCAACAGUUGCAGAUGUUUAUUGAUAAACUAGAUGCUUGUUUUGCUCUUAAAGACAUGGGUAAUCUCAAUCAAUUCUUGGGUAUUAAAGUCUACAGAGAUGUCACAGGACUUUACCUAACUUAGAUAAAAUAUAUGGUUGACUUACUGAAGAAAUUUGACUAUGAAAACUUGAAACUAGUCCCAACUCCUAUGGCAGUAGGUAAACUGAUAUCUAAGGAUGAAGGGCAAGCCAUGAGUGAUCCUACUCUCUACAGGAGUGCAGUUGGUGGUCUUCAAUAUCUUGCACACACAAGACCUGACAUUGCCUAUUCUGUAAAUAAAAUGAGUCAAUUUCUUCAAGCCCCCACAGAUGCUCAUUGGAAGGCCCUCAAGAGAAUUUUUAGAUACUUAAAGGGUACACUAACACAUGGUUUAGUUAUCCGAAAAAAUGACAGUUUAGACAUCACAGCAUUUGCAGAUUCAAAUUGGGCAUCAUGUCCUGAUGAUAGAAGGUCUACACCUGGCUAUUGUGUGUAUCUUAGAGAUAGUUUGGUUUCUUGGUGUUCUAAGAAACAGCAUGUUGUUGCAAGGUCUAGCACAGAGGCGGAGUAUAGAGCGUUGGCUCACAGUGCAUCAGAAAUAGCUUGGAUUCAGUCCCUAAUGAAAGAGCUAAAUAUACCACACAACGCAAUCCCUAAAAUUUGGUGUGACAACUUGGGUGCAAGUGCACUAGCAUCAAAUCUAGUAUAUCAUGCUCAUACCAAACACAUAGAAUUAGAUGCCCACUUUGUGAGAGACAGUUUUGAAGAAGGAACUGGAAGUGCAGUUUGUCCCAUCCUCAGAUGAAAUUGCAGAUAUUUUAACAAAACCUCUUUCUCAUUCAAGAUUCAUAUUCUUUAGGGACAAGCUUGGAGUGGUUAAGACACACUCCAUCUUGAGAGGGGGUGUUAGGAUUGAUCGAAAAAGCUGAAUAUUUCCACUAUGUAAGCUGUUAAUAUUGUUAAUAGCUUUAACAAUAUAUUACAGUGUAUUUCCCCAAUUCAAGGGAUGUGUAUAUAGGUAGUUAGACACGUGUUAUCAGCUGAUAGGAAAAUCUGGAAUAUUCUGUGUGUAUGUAAAAUGUAUGUAUUACAAUUCUGUGAAUAAAUAGAGGAGAAAAUGAGGAGCUAUUGUACCGAGAAAACUUUUCCAAAAAUAUAGAGUUUAGUGAUUUUUUUUAACUUUUGGCAACCAAUGGAUCACAAUGUCCUAAGUUGCAUAUUCUUAGGUGGAAUUUGAUGAAUUGGGUGGACCCUUCACAGCAUGUCGGAAUCGUUCCGAAUGAGCAUCUAAGUACCUAUCACCAGGAUGGGGAUUCAGAUGUUAGGAAAUGCCAAAAUGGGAGAUUGUUAUGUCCAAAUUUGUAAGUAUGAUUUGUAAAUUUGUAAUUGGCAAUUUUCAUAUUCAAAAUUAAGAGUUAUCGGAUUGUAAUUGAAGUCAAAAUAUGAUUUACUGAGUUGUAAUUAUAGUCAAGAUAGUUUGGUGCUGGUAGAAUCAUAAAAGAAGUCGAAUAAAUUCAAGAAGAAUAUCAAGAAACGGACUUUAGGGAGUGGAUCA